This 1017-nucleotide ribosomal RNA is filed under the name uncultured bacterium. Its description in RNAcentral is "bacterial SSU rRNA". It matches the Rfam family "Bacterial small subunit ribosomal RNA", at positions 355 to 1375 of the family's 1533-position model. The record is from RNAcentral.
UGAGGAAUAUUGGUCAAUGGACGAGAGUCUGAACCAGCCAAGUAGCGUGAAGGAUGACUGCCCUAUGGGUUGUAAACUUCUUUUAUACGGGAAUAAAGUGAGGCACGUGUGCCUUUUUGUAUGUACCGUAUGAAUAAGGAUCGGCUAACUCCGUGCCAGCAGCCGCGGUAAUACGGAGGAUCCGAGCGUUAUCCGGAUUUAUUGGGUUUAAAGGGAGCGUAGGCGGACGCUUAAGUCAGUUGUGAAAGUUUGCGGCUCAACCGUAAAAUUGCAGUUGAUACUGGGUGUCUUGAGUACAGUAGAGGCAGGCGGAAUUCGUGGUGUAGCGGUGAAAUGCUUAGAUAUCACGAAGAACUCCGAUUGCGAAGGCAGCUUGCUGGACUGUAACUGACGCUGAUGCUCGAAAGUGUGGGUAUCAAACAGGAUUAGAUACCCUGGUAGUCCACACAGUAAACGAUGAAUACUCGCUGUUUGCGAUAUACAGUAAGCGGCCAAGCGAAAGCGUUAAGUAUUCCACCUGGGGAGUACGCCGGCAACGGUGAAACUCAAAGGAAUUGACGGGGGCCCGCACAAGCGGAGGAACAUGUGGUUUAAUUCGAUGAUACGCGAGGAACCUUACCCGGGCUUGAAUUGCAACUGAAUGAUGUGGAGACAUGUCAGCCGCAAGGCAGUUGUGAAGGUGCUGCAUGGUUGUCGUCAGCUCGUGCCGUGAGGUGUCGGCUUAAGUGCCAUAACGAGCGCAACCCUUAUCGAUAGUUACCAUCAGGUUAUGCUGGGGACUCUGUCGAGACUGCCGUCGUAAGAUGUGAGGAAGGUGGGGAUGACGUCAAAUCAGCACGGCCCUUACGUCCGGGGCUACACACGUGUUACAAUGGGGGGUACAGAGGGCCGCUACCACGCGAGUGGAUGCCAAUCCCUAAAACCCCUCUCAGUUCGGACUGGAGUCUGCAACCCGACUCCACGAAGCUGGAUUCGCUAGUAAUCGCGCAUCAGCCACGGCGCGGUGAAUACGUUCCC